CGCGCCGCUCCCCGCUCUGCCCCUGCCCCUGCCCUGGCCGCGGCUCCUCGCUGCGGGCGGCGGCCCCGUCCCCACCCCUGCUUCUGCCUCCGAGUUUCUCUUUCUUUUCCCCUUCCGAGCUGCUGCCUGGGAGUGGAGUCUGCGCCCGGGCCUGCGCCAGGAGGAAGACAGCCGGCGGCUCGUGAAGAGGGACCAUUUGAGGGAGGAUUUUUUCUUGGAGGACGACUUUCAGGGACUCGGAGAGGAGCCUGAGCGUGAAUCCCCGAGGAAGGUCGUCUUCCCCCCGCGCAGUGAGUGGAGCUGCCAGACCCGGGACACUUGCUGGAUCUUAAAUUCUCCUGUUUUUUCUUACGUGUUUUAAGAGGCUUGAUGUCACCAGAUCUGAAACGCCCGAUGCUGAAAGUGGUCCUGGGUCAAGAGAUUACUCGCCGAAUUUGAAUGAUUUUUAAAACCAGUUUUCUUGAGCGAAUACGGGAGAAUUAAAACAAAAAUGAUGCUGAGGUGAAGGGUCCUUCCUUGGGAGCUGAAAGGUUUGCUGGUAGAUUUCCUGGAAGCCGGCACUGGGGCUGUGAAGGAAAGGUUGCAGAAUGGGACUGCCCUAAUCUGGAAGCUGCUCUGUUUUUCUCUUCAGUUCCUACCCAGCCUUCCUCUGGGAAACUCCAUAUGAUCAGACUGGCAUCUAGGAUGUGUAAAGACUGCAGGACUGAGCCAUGAAGACACCGAGCAGUUGGGCAUAUGGUGUUGUGCUCCUGUCAGCUCUGGAUGGACCUCUUUUCCGUGAAAUAAACUUGCAAGAAGGAUGUAUAAAAUUGUAUCUAUAAAUCUACUAUUCAGAAGCAGAGAAUACUUUUUGGCCUCUUGGAUUUUAGGGAGCAAAUAAUUGCACCAUAUAAUUGAUUCAUUGGGGAAUAUUCAGCAUGAGAAGUGAAUAACCUUAAGAUCAAGUUAAGUCUAAAGUGAAGCAGAUAAAGAAAAAAAAUGAAAUAAUUUGCAGCUUGUAAAAUAAAAUAUUUGUAUACUUAUUUGUUUUGCAUGUUUGCAACCUGAGGGUGACCAUUUAUUUUAUCUGAUGUGGGAAAUGUGCAUAAAAUCCUAUCCCAUUGCAAAUUUCCCUAUACUUGUUCUUUGACAUGAUUCAGGAGUAGAAACUCUGAUGUCAUGGAACAAUAAUAUUAGUUUUCUUUCCCUCUAAAGCAGUGAAUCGCAACCAGGAUGCCUUGAGUUCCUUUCAGGGAUGCUGCAGAGAGCCACACAAAAUUAGCACUGUUAGGAGUGAAAACAUGAUUCACAAGAUAAACCCAGACGCAUCAAAUAAUGAUCCAUAAUGUUAAAAAUAUUUUGAACUGUUAGCUUUCUAUGCACCAGAAGAAUUUCUUUUGUUAUUUU
Molecule: long non-coding RNA, 1386 nt
Organism: Alligator sinensis (Chinese alligator)
Lineage: Eukaryota; Metazoa; Chordata; Crocodylia; Alligatoridae
Exons: 4
Source: RefSeq, a predicted model, not a curated record